CUCGCGGGGUUUUUGCUCGGUGGCCGGCGUGGGAGGUGAUUUGCCUUGUGACCCUCUGUCCGCGCCUCGGGCGGCACCCACCGACAGCGGCGCUCCGGGGGUGCUGCUGCAGCGACACAAGCUUUGCACCCAAACGGGGUAGCGACACCCGCCCUGGGGACCCUUCAACCCCGGCCUCUUGCCGGCUGCACUGCCUCGUCCCUGGGGUCCCUGGGUCCGGCGGCGGAGCAGGAGCAGGGGGUGCUCUGGACCCCGAAGCCCAGGGUGUGGUUUCCAUGGGUGUGCUCGUUGGAAUCUCCCCUCUUCCUUUUUGGGUUAUUCUCAUCCUUUCCAGAUGUGAUGCUGCAAGGCAGGAGCCGCUGCCGGGCCGAUCCCGAAGGGGCAGGGGCUGUCACUCCCAGGGGUUUCAUGGAGGGAGGCGGAUGCGGAUUGUCUGGCUGUCCCAGUUCCCCCAUGGCCCCCCUCGUCUGUGCACGCUGCUUCGCGCGGUGCCUUGGCUCCGAAGCAAAGCAAGUUAUUUCUGCUCGCUCAGGGCGCUGGAAGCUGCUGGGCUGUCAAAGGUGAUCUUGCAGCUAAUUUGGAGGCUUCGUUGCGCUGUAGCUGUGCUCCCUGGCAGGGUUUCCCUCAGUGCCGGGCACUGCACGGACGAAAACGUCCUUCCUGAAGUGCUGUGGGACAGUGGGAGGACACCCUAAAAUGCUUUUCAACCCAGAGACAACAGAGCUCCUGCUCUCGAGCUGUGUUGCUGGCAGUCACCGCUCGGUGCUCAGGUCUCCUGCUGGUUCUCCCCGCAGACCCACGCCCACCUUGGGGGACAGGGACCUUUGUGGCUCUGGGACAGUGACCAUGAGCACCAGUCCUUUUUGGGGUGACUUCGUCUCCGCUGUUUGUGUGCUUAAUGGUCCUUUUUUGCAGUCCCAUGUCGGGGGGACGUGGCGGUGCCACACCUGGGCUAGUCCUGCUCUGGACCCGCCAUGUGUUGCUAGCAUGCUAAUAACGACACAGGCUGCGUUAGAAAUGGAAAAGUAAUUUGGUACCUUUUUCAAUAGUGGGAUAAGCUUUGAAGGGUGAUGGGUAUCCCAAACCUGCUGGGCUGUUUUGCCAGCGUGGAGCUGGAUAUCGCUGGGGAUGUCCUCAUCCUCUUGCAACGGCUCUUGUGCCACCCCUUUCCCCAUGUGCCGCCUCCUUUCCCAUCGGGUCUGCAGCAGGCGGGGCUCAGCAUGGGCUUUGGUGGGGUUCCUGCUUCUGCAAGUAAACAUUUCGUACCUUGCCAUUUUGCUGUGUGCAAGACCCCUCCUGCAAGACCCGUGCACCGAGACUUUUCCCACCUAGCCCGUAUUGCUGGCGACACCCCAGAAUUACAGCAGCUCUCGAAGGAAGCUCUGUGUGCGUGGGCUGAAGCUGGCUUCGUGGUCUGCUGGUGCGUCGGGAGGUGGCACCUCUGUGGUGGGGGCACCUUGCGGAGCGGUCGUGCUCAGGGUGCUGAGCAAGGAGUCUCUGCUGCAGUUUUGCCUCUGCCUGUGAAGUUACUUGGAAAGUUCAGAUUUUGUGGCAGACUCGCACCAAAAAGAGGCACUGACCUUCAAGAAACAUCCUGUAAGGACGGGCUUGUCGGGGACAGCUGAGUAACAACAGGGCACACAGAAAAUCCCGACUCAACAGGAACUGCAUGAGAAGUGUUUGAGCUGUCUGGGUUUAAGAGAGCCUUCCAAGGGAGCGGAGCCGCAGAGACUGAGUGCUGGGUGUCAAAGCUGCGUGGUGGGGGUGCCUUGGGCAGCAUCCCGCGCUUGAACCCCGCUCAGAAAGUGAUUCCAAGCAAUCCUGCAAGAGGAAACCACGUCAGCCUGGUACGUGGCAUCAGGUAGGAUGAUGGAUGCGGUGGCAGCUGGCCAGCUCUCCGACAGCGCUGCUGGUUGGGGUGCAUCCUGACAGCGGCUCAAGGGCCGCAGAGCUCAGCGCUGGCUCCCACCCGUCCCGGGGAGUCACCGUCCCCCUCCGCUGGCCAGCUGGCCCGUCCCUGCAGGGUGCGCUGGGGUGCCUGAACCUGGGAGGGGAGUCGGCAUCUUCAGGUCCUGCAAGGUCCCCAAGGGUUGGUGGGGAGGUAGAGAUGAGAUGCUGGUGAUGAUGAUGAGAGGGAAGCAAGGAGACCUUGUUCCAGUGCAUUUUCGCCGGCCUGCCUGGCACCCACCUCUCCCAGUAGCUCUGGACAUGCCCCUUGUGUGGGGUCUGGCAGGGCCACGACGGGGUGGGAGGAGGAUGUGGGUCCUUGCUCUGGGUGGUCAUUCUGCCUCCAGAUGCAGAGUCUGGGCCCUCGAUGGCUGCUUCUGUUGCACCUGAGCUUCAUAACACAAAAGGCAGUAGGUUUUUUGCAGGGGUUUCUCCAUGUUUUUGGAAGAGGAGAAGGAGCUGGCUGGGCCCAGCACAGCCUUGCCUUGCUGCUGCAAGCUCUCAUAGAAUCAUAGGAUGUCCUGAGCUGGAAGAGACCCACAAGGACCGUCAAGUCCAGCUCCCGUCCCUGCACAGGACAAGCCCAAAUUCGCACCGUGUCUCUGAGGGUGUUGUCCAAGUGCUUCUUGAACAUUGCCAGGCCUCCCUGGGGAGCCUGUUCCAGGGCUCCACCACCCUCUGGGGGAAGAACCUUUUCCUAAUACCCAGCCUAACCCUCCCCUGGCACAUCUCCCUGCCAUUCCCUCGGGUCCUCUGUCAUCAUGAGCCAAGAAAAAAUGGACAGUGAGUUUUUGCCAGGAUCAUACAAUGGUUUGGGUUGGAAGGGACCUUUAGAGGCCAUCUAGUCCACCCCCCCUGUAGUGAGCAGGGACAUCUUCAACUAGCUCAGGUUGCUCAGAGCCCCGUCCAGCCUGGCCUUGAGUGUUUCUAGAGAAUCUACCACCUCUCUGGGCAACCUGUUCCAGUGUUUCACCAUCCUCAUAGUAAAAAAUUUCUUCCUUAUGUCUAA
Molecule: non-coding RNA, 2956 nt
Organism: Phalacrocorax carbo (great cormorant)
Lineage: Eukaryota; Metazoa; Chordata; Aves; Suliformes; Phalacrocoracidae
Source: RefSeq, a predicted model, not a curated record